This is a long non-coding RNA of Scophthalmus maximus (turbot), 882 nucleotides long. RefSeq lists it as uncharacterized. NCBI's taxonomy places the organism in Eukaryota, Metazoa, Chordata, Actinopteri, Pleuronectiformes, Scophthalmidae. The transcript has 4 exons. The record is from RefSeq and is a predicted model, not a curated record.
AGGAGGAGAAGGAGGAGGAGGAAGAGGAGGAGGAGGAAGAGGAGGAAGAGAAAGAGAAGGAGGAGGAAGAGGAGGAAAAGGAGGAGGAGGAAGAAGAGGAGGAGGAGUUUUCUCCUGUCGGCGAAGCAGCAGGUUGGACGGCGUGGGCUACUCAACUGUCUUCAAUUGUAUCAACACAUGAGAUGGCCGCUUCUCAGCUGGAACAAUUUGGAGUUCUAUCAGAUGAGGGCCAGACUUCCCUGUAUUGUGGUAGGGGUCAAUGAUAGUACCGGUGGACCGGACCUCCUGAUUGGUCCUCUCCUCAUCUUCUGCAGUCUCCUGCAAUGACAAACCAGCCGCUUAGCUGCCGUCCUAAUAAGCUCUCGAAGAGCUCAUGCAGAGAUAUCUGAGACUACAACAUCAUCACAGUUGAGAAUUUCUGUUUAUCGCUUGCCAUGCCACCCAAGAAGGUACGUUUCCUGCCAUACGAGUUGGGUUUGACAUUCAUGCUUUAUUUUUCAUUCCAUGUUUUACAUUCAAUCACGAUGUGCAAAUCAUAUUCCCGUCAAACUGAACGUAAUUUACUGUGGCUCGGCAGAACUCGCAGCGCCGCUGCACUCUGUCCUGGAGUUGAAUGCUUCUGACAGGGAAGCAUCCUUUUGCAGUAACCUUAAAAUGUUUAUACGUAACCAUAAAUGUUAUUUACAAAAUGCUCUGUAUCAAGUCCCACACUUAUCCCUUAUUUACUGCAAUUGCACCAAUGAUCCAAAACAUGUGCAGUCUGACAAUUAUUAAUAAAUACUAUUGUUGAAUAGUUUUGAGUGUAAUUAGUGUGAAGGUAAACUGCAUGGGUGACAUGAUUGAUUUCUCCAAUAGGAAAUAUGCUCUGUGUGUGUGUGUGUG